UUUAUGGAGAGUUUGAUCCUGGCUCAGGAUGAACGCUGGCGGCGUGCCUAAUACAUGCAAGUCGAGCGAACGGACGAGAAGCUUGCUUCUCUGAUGUUAGCGGCGGACGGGUGAGUAACACGUGGAUAACCUACCUAUAAGACUGGGAUAACUUCGGGAAACCGGAGCUAAUACCGGAUGAUAUUUUGAACCGCAUGGUUCAAAAGUGAAAGACGGUCUUGCUGUCACUUAUAGAUGGAUCCGCGCUGCAUUAGCUAGUUGGUAAGGUAACGGCUUACCAAGGCAACGAUGCAUAGCCGACCUGAGAGGGUGAUCGGCCACACUGGAACUGAGACACGGUCCAGACUCCUACGGGAGGCAGCAGUAGGGAAUCUUCCGCAAUGGGCGAAAGCCUGACGGAGCAACGCCGCGUGAGUGAUGAAGGUCUUCGGAUCGUAAAACUCUGUUAUUAGGGAAGAACAUAUGUGUAAGUAACUGUGCACAUCUUGACGGUACCUAAUCAGAAAGCCACGGCUAACUACGUGCCAGCAGCCGCGGUAAUACGUAGGUGGCAAGCGUUAUCCGGAAUUAUUGGGCGUAAAGCGCGCGUAGGCGGUUUUUUAAGUCUGAUGUGAAAGCCCACGGCUCAACCGUGGAGGGUCAUUGGAAACUGGAAAACUUGAGUGCAGAAGAGGAAAGUGGAAUUCCAUGUGUAGCGGUGAAAUGCGCAGAGAUAUGGAGGAACACCAGUGGCGAAGGCGACUUUCUGGUCUGUAACUGACGCUGAUGUGCGAAAGCGUGGGGAUCAAACAGGAUUAGAUACCCUGGUAGUCCACGCCGUAAACGAUGAGUGCUAAGUGUUAGGGGGUUUCCGCCCCUUAGUGCUGCAGCUAACGCAUUAAGCACUCCGCCUGGGGAGUACGACCGCAAGGUUGAAACUCAAAGGAAUUGACGGGGACCCGCACAAGCGGUGGAGCAUGUGGUUUAAUUCGAAGCAACGCGAAGAACCUUACCAAAUCUUGACAUCCUUUGACAACUCUAGAGAUAGAGCCUUCCCCUUCGGGGGACAAAGUGACAGGUGGUGCAUGGUUGUCGUCAGCUCGUGUCGUGAGAUGUUGGGUUAAGUCCCGCAACGAGCGCAACCCUUAAGCUUAGUUGCCAUCAUUAAGUUGGGCACUCUAAGUUGACUGCCGGUGACAAACCGGAGGAAGGUGGGGAUGACGUCAAAUCAUCAUGCCCCUUAUGAUUUGGGCUACACACGUGCUACAAUGGACAAUACAAAGGGCAGCGAAACCGCGAGGUCAAGCAAAUCCCAUAAAGUUGUUCUCAGUUCGGAUUGUAGUCUGCAACU
RNAcentral lists this ribosomal RNA (1330 nucleotides) under Staphylococcus aureus. Its description in RNAcentral is "bacterial SSU rRNA". It matches the Rfam family "Bacterial small subunit ribosomal RNA", at positions 1 to 1312 of the family's 1533-position model. The record is from RNAcentral. Lineage: Bacteria; Bacillati; Bacillota; Bacilli; Caryophanales; Staphylococcaceae.